This 280-nucleotide ribosomal RNA is filed under the name uncultured Basidiomycota. RNAcentral describes it as "partial 18S ribosomal RNA". It matches the Rfam family "Eukaryotic small subunit ribosomal RNA", at positions 548 to 834 of the family's 1831-position model. Lineage: Eukaryota; Fungi; Basidiomycota. The record is from RNAcentral. RNAcentral also lists the same sequence under 1 other name.
UUGGAGGGCAAGUCUGGUGCCAGCAGCCGCGGUAAUUCCAGCUCCAAUAGCGUAUAUUAAAGUUGUUGCAGUUAAAAAGCUCGUAGUUGAACUUCAGACCUGACCGGGCGGUCCGCCUAACGGUGUGUACUGUCUGGCCGGGCCUUACCUCUUGGUGAGCCGGCAUGCCCUUCACUGGGUGUGUCGGGGAACCAGGACCUUUACCUUGAGAAAAUUAGAGUGUUCAAAGCAGGCUUACGCCGGAAUACAUUAGCAUGGAAUAAUAAAAUAGGACGUGCGG